UGCAAACCCGGUAACAAGUUUCGGGGAAUUCUCCGUGCAAUUUCGCCCGAAACCGUAACACAAUCCCGUUACAAACAAAGGCCGUUUCAAUCGUAUAGAGUUCUUUUUUCAUGUGAAAAUGAGAACAGUUGGAACUCUUCGGAAUUCAGGCAUUACGAAAUUAAAUUAUCAUACUGAGUCAUCAUAGCUGGCUAACUACUAAGGACGGGUCUCUACACUGGCUAAGUGUGGAUUAGUUGACUUCACACACUUUGAAGAACAUCAUGGAGAAUUCUCCAGGCAUGCAAGUUUCCUCAUCGAUUCCGUAAAACAAGCAUCAUUAUUACACUCGCAAUUGUAAUUAUUGACUUUUAUGCUAUUCUUGUUGCAACAAUGCAUUAUAGCCAAUAGUGAGCGAGCAUCAACCAAUCAAAUGUGAUUGCAAUCGUGAUAUGGUAGCUGUCGUUCUACCGCAAUCGAGCUGCUGGAAAUCCACAGACAGAUA
Molecule: long non-coding RNA, 484 nt
Organism: Maniola jurtina (meadow brown)
Lineage: Eukaryota; Metazoa; Arthropoda; Insecta; Lepidoptera; Nymphalidae
Exons: 3
Source: RefSeq, a predicted model, not a curated record